This 305-nucleotide RNase P RNA is filed under the name Thermoprotei archaeon. Its description in RNAcentral is "RNase P RNA component". It matches the Rfam family "Archaeal RNase P". From Rfam's summary of the family: Ribonuclease P (RNase P) is a ubiquitous endoribonuclease, found in archaea, bacteria and eukarya as well as chloroplasts and mitochondria. Its best characterised activity is the generation of mature 5'-ends of tRNAs by cleaving the 5'-leader elements of precursor-tRNAs. Cellular RNase Ps are ribonucleoproteins. The record is from RNAcentral. Lineage: Archaea; Thermoproteati; Thermoproteota; Thermoprotei.
GUAAGCGGACGGGCGGGUCUCGGGCGCCUAUGCCGGCGACGGCGGCGCCUGGGGAAGCUCCACCCUCCGAGGGGGACCGCGACCUGGCGACAGGUGGGGCGAGAGCCCCGGCAACGGCACAGAAACGAUACCCCCUCGCGUGGAUGUGGAUGAUGCCGAUAAGGCUGACUAUACCGAGGAAGGGGUGAAACGGCCGACCCGCGGGGAGCAAGGCCAAAUAGGGACCGAUGAGGCCCCCCACGAGGUCCGGGUGGGCCGCUAAGUCAAAUCCCGCCCUAACAGAAGGUGGGCUACGAUCCGCUUAC